AGGACGAACGCUGGCGGCGUGCUUAACACAUGCAAGUCGAGCGGAAAGGCCCUUCGGGGUACUCGAGCGGCGAACGGGUGAGUAACACGUGAGCAACCUGCCCUUAGCUCCGGGAUAGCUCCGGGAAACCGGAAUUAAUACCGGAUAUGACCUAGGCCGACAUCGGCUGUGGUGGAAAGUUUUUCGGCUGGGGAUGGACUCGCGGCCUAUCAGCUUGGUUGGUGGGUAAUGGCCUACCGAAGGCGACGACGGGUA
RNAcentral lists this ribosomal RNA (255 nucleotides) under uncultured bacterium. RNAcentral describes it as "partial small subunit ribosomal RNA". It matches the Rfam family "Bacterial small subunit ribosomal RNA", at positions 26 to 285 of the family's 1533-position model. The record is from RNAcentral.